RNAcentral lists this small RNA (358 nucleotides) under Halalkalibacter krulwichiae. Its description in RNAcentral is "Bacillus krulwichiae cspA thermoregulator". The stretch from base 61 to 358 matches the Rfam family "cspA thermoregulator". The record is from Rfam by way of RNAcentral. Lineage: Bacteria; Bacillati; Bacillota; Bacilli; Caryophanales; Bacillaceae.
UUUUGUUCGAUAGUACUGAUAGAGUAAAGACUUUCUUAAUUAAGUGGUUUUGUCUUGAUGGAUUAUUCAUGAGCAAGGAUAGUAAUAAUUUUUGUGGGUAAUCCACGUUGGAGGCAAUAUCAUGACACAAGGUACAGUAAAAUGGUUUAAUGCAGAAAAAGGUUUCGGAUUUAUUGAAGUUGAAGGAAGCGACGAUGUAUUCGUACACUUCUCUGCUAUUCAAGGUGAAGGUUUCAAAUCAUUAGAAGAAGGUCAAACUGUAACAUUUGAAAUCGAGCAAGGUGCUCGUGGACCACAAGCUGCUAACGUUCAAAAGUAAUGAACGUUAUAAAGGACUCUCAAAUGAGAGUCCUUUUUU